AGCAGCCGCGGUAAUUCCAGCUCCAAUAGCGUAUAUUAAAGUUGUUGCAGUUAAAAAGCUCGUAGUUGAAUUUCGGGGUUAGUAGGCUGGUCGUGCCACUGGUACGUACUGGUCUCACUGACUCCUCCUUCCUGAUGAACUGUAAUGCCAUUAAUUUGGUGUUGCAGGGAAACUGGACUGUUACUUUGAAAAAAUUAGAGUGUUUAAAGCAAGCUAACGCUUGAAUACAUUAGCAUGGAAUAAUGAAAUAGGACGUUCGAUCCUAUUUUGUUGGUUUCUAGGAUUGACGUAAUGAUUAAUAGGGAUAGUUGGGGGCAUUAGUAUUCAAUUGUCAGAGGUGAAAUUCUUGGAUUUAUUGAAGACUAACUACUGCGAAAGCAUUUGCCAAGGAUGUUUCAUUAAUCAAGAACGAAAGUUAGGGAUCGAAGACGAUCAGAUACCGU
This 443-nucleotide ribosomal RNA is filed under the name uncultured Glomus. RNAcentral describes it as "SSU rRNA". It matches the Rfam family "Eukaryotic small subunit ribosomal RNA", at positions 569 to 1018 of the family's 1831-position model. Lineage: Eukaryota; Fungi; Glomeromycota; Glomeromycetes; Glomerales; Glomeraceae. The record is from RNAcentral.